Molecule: non-coding RNA, 120 nt
Organism: Pelobates cultripes (western spadefoot toad)
Lineage: Eukaryota; Metazoa; Chordata; Amphibia; Anura; Pelobatidae
Source: the annotation of a GenBank genome assembly
GAUUUCUGGCUCCUAGGUGUCUUUUAUACAGGUAACAAGCUGAGAUUAGGGGCACUCCCUUUAAGAGAGUGCUCCAAAUCUCAGUUUGUUACCUAUAUAAAAGACACCUGUCCUCAGAAG